AUUGAACGCUGGCGGCAGGCCUAACACAUGCAAGUCGAGCGGAUGAAGGGAGCUUGCUCCUGGAUUCAGCGGCGGACGGGUGAGUAAUGCCUAGGAAUCUGCCUGGCAGUGGGUUAUAACGUCCGGAAACGGGCGCUAAUACCGCAUGCGUCCUGCGGGAGAAAGUGGGGGAUCUUCGGACCUCACGCUAUCAGAUGAGCCUAGGUCGGGUUAGCUAGUUGGUGGGGUAAAGGCCUACCAAGGCGACGAUCCGUAACUGGUCUGAGAGGAUGAUCAGUCACACUGGAACUGAGACACGGUCCAGAGUCCUACGGGAGGCAGCAGUGGGGAAUAUUGGACAACGGGCGAAAGCAUGAUCCAGCCAUGCCGAGUGUGUGAAGAAGGUCUUCGGAUUGUAAAGCACUUUAAGUUGGGAGGAAGGGCAGUAAGUUAAUACCUUGCUGUUUUGACGUUACCAACAGAAUAAGCACCGGCUAACUUCGUG
RNAcentral lists this ribosomal RNA (484 nucleotides) under uncultured bacterium. RNAcentral's name for it is "partial 16S ribosomal RNA". It matches the Rfam family "Bacterial small subunit ribosomal RNA", at positions 30 to 507 of the family's 1533-position model. The record is from RNAcentral.